AGAGUUGAUCCUGGCUCAGAACGAACGCUGGCGGCGUGCUUAACACAUGCAAGUCGAGCGAGAAAUUUCCCGCUUGCGGGAAAGAGUAAAGCGGCGCACGGGUGAGUAAUGCAUGAAUAACCUGCCCUUAGGUCUGGGAUAACCCCGUGAAAAUGGGGUUAAUACCGGAUAAUAUCCAUUUAACCAUGGUUGAGUGGGUUAAAGGUGGCCUCUGCUUGCAAGCUAUCGCCUGAAGAGGGGUUCGUGUCCCAUCAGCUAGUUGGUAGGGUAAUGGCUUACCAAGGCUAAGACGGGUAGCUGGUCUGAGAGGACGACCAGCCACAUUGGCACUGAAACACGGGCCAAACUCCUACGGGAGGCAGCAGUGGGGAAUAUUGCGCAAUGGGCGAAAGCCUGACGCAGCGACGCCGCGUGAGGGAAGAAGGUCUUCGGGUCGUAAACCUCUGUCAGGUGGGAAGAACCUCUCCUUAUCAAAUAGAUUUGGAGAGUUGACGUACCACCAAAGAAGCACCGCUAACU
RNAcentral lists this ribosomal RNA (519 nucleotides) under uncultured bacterium. Its description in RNAcentral is "bacterial SSU rRNA". It matches the Rfam family "Bacterial small subunit ribosomal RNA", at positions 8 to 502 of the family's 1533-position model. The record is from RNAcentral.